ACAGGGAUCCCCUAGUAACGGCGAGUGAAGCGGGAACAGCUCAAAUUUGAAAUCUGGCCCUCGGGUCCGAGUUGUAAUUUGUAGAGGAUGCUUUUGGUGCGGUGCCUUCCGAGUUCCCUGGAACGGGACGCCUUAGAGGGUGAGAGCCCCGUACGGUUGGACGCCUAGCCUCUGUAAAGCUCCUUCGACGAGUCGAGUAGUUUGGGAAUGCUGCUCUAAAUGGGAGGUAUAUUUCUUCUAAAGCUAAAUACUGGCCAGAGACCGAUAGCGCACAAGUAGAGUGAUCGAAAGAUGAAAAGCACUUUGAAAAGAGGGUUAAAUAGCACGUGAAAUUGUUGAAAGGGAAGCGUUUAUCACCAGACUUUUUCUAGGGGGAUCAUCCGGUGUUCUCACCGGUGCACUUCCCCUAGUUGAGGCCAGCAUCGGUUUUCGGAGGGGGAUAAAAGUUUCGGGAAUGUGACUCCCCCGGGAGUGUUAUAGCCCGUUACAUAAUACCCUUCUGGGGACCGAGGUUCGCGCAUCUGCAAGGAUGCUGGCAUAAUGGUGAUCAACGACCCGUCUUGAAACACGGACCAAGGAGUCGAACAUUUAUGCGAGUGUUUGGGUGUCAAACCCUCACGCGUAAUGAAAGUGAACGGAGGUGAGAGCCCUUACGGGUGCAUCAUCGACCGAUCCUGAUGUCUUCGGAUGGAUUUGAGUAAGAGCAUAACUGUUCGGACCCGAAAGAUGGUGAACUAUGCGUGGAUAGGGUGAAGCCAGGAGAAAUCCUGGUGGAGGCUCGCAGCGGUUCUGACGUGCAAAUCGAUCGUCAAAUCUGCGCAUGGGGCGAAAGACUAAUCGA
RNAcentral lists this ribosomal RNA (841 nucleotides) under Nigrospora oryzae. RNAcentral's name for it is "eukaryotic LSU rRNA". It matches the Rfam family "Eukaryotic large subunit ribosomal RNA", at positions 68 to 938 of the family's 3401-position model. Lineage: Eukaryota; Fungi; Ascomycota; Sordariomycetes; Amphisphaeriales; Apiosporaceae. The record is from RNAcentral.